AUUGAACGCUGGCGGCAGGCCUAACACAUGCAAGUCGAGCGGAUGAAGGGAGCUUGCUCCUGGAUUCAGCGGCGGACGGGUGAGUAAUGCCUAGGAAUCUGCCUGGUAGUGGGGGAUAACGUCCGGAAACGGGCGCUAAUACCGCAUACGUCCUGAGGGAGAAAGUGGGGGAUCUUCGGACCUCACGCUAUCAGAUGAGCCUAGGUCGGAUUAGCUAGUUGGUGGGGUAAAGGCCUACCAAGGCGACGAUCCGUAACUGGUCUGAGAGGAUGAUCAGUCACACUGGAACUGAGACACGGUCCAGACUCCUACGGGAGGCAGCAGUAGGGAAUAUUGGACAAUGGGCGAAAGCCUGACCCAGCCAUGCCGCGUGUGUGAAGAAGGUCUUCGGAUUGUAAAGCACUUUAAGUUGGGAGGAAGGGCAGUAAGUUAAUACCUUGCUGUCUUGACGUUACCAACAGAAUAAGCACCGGCUAACUUCGUG
This 484-nucleotide ribosomal RNA is filed under the name uncultured bacterium. RNAcentral describes it as "partial 16S ribosomal RNA". It matches the Rfam family "Bacterial small subunit ribosomal RNA", at positions 30 to 507 of the family's 1533-position model. The record is from RNAcentral.